CAAGGAAUUUUGGGCAAUGGGCGAAAGCCUGACCCAGCGACACCGCGUGAGGGAAUAAGGCCUUCGGGUUGUAAACCUCUUUUCCUGGGGAAGAAUCUCGACGGUACCCAGGGAAUAAGCCUCGGCCAACUACGUGCCAGCAGCCGCGGUAAUACGUAGGAGGCGAACGUUAUUCGGAUUUACUGGGCGUAAAGGGAGCGUAGGCGGUUCCUUAAGUCGGAUGUGAAAUCUUCUGGCUCAAUCGGAAGGCGCCAUUUGAUACUGAGGGACUUGAGAGCAGCAGAGGGAAAUGGAAUCUGCAGUGUAGCGGUGAAAUGCGUAGAUAUUGCGGAGAACACCAGUGGCGAAGGCGGUUUCCCAGGCUGUUUCUGACGCUGAGGCUCGAAAGCGUGGGGAGCGAAGCGGAUUAGAUACCCGCGUAGUCCACGCCCUAAACGGUGGACACUAGAUAUAGGAGGUAUCGACCCUUUCUGUGUCGAAGCUAACGCUUUAAGUGUCCCGCCUGGGGAGUACGGCCGCAAGGCUG
Molecule: ribosomal RNA, 526 nt
Filed under: uncultured bacterium
Lineage: Bacteria
Description: bacterial SSU rRNA
Rfam family: Bacterial small subunit ribosomal RNA
Source: RNAcentral